UACAGAGGUGGCAAGCGUUGUUCGGAAUUACUGGGCGUAAAGGGCGCGUAGGCGGUCGGGCAAGUCCUGUGUGAAAUCCCUCGGCUCAACUGAGGAACUGCACGGGAAACUGCUCGACUUGAGUUCGGGAGAGGGAAGCGGAAUUCCGGGUGUAGCGGUGAAAUGCGUAGAUAUCCGGAGGAACACCGGUGGCGAAGGCGGCUUCCUGGACCGACACUGACGCUGAGGCGCGAAAGCUAGGGGAGCAAACGGG
Molecule: ribosomal RNA, 253 nt
Filed under: uncultured bacterium
Lineage: Bacteria
Description: partial 16S ribosomal RNA
Rfam family: Bacterial small subunit ribosomal RNA
Source: RNAcentral